AAUCGAAUUUCAAUCAGCGCUCAGUCAGUAACGUCAUUCAUUCGCAAACAUUCAACGUUCAACGUCAUUUUUUUAAAGAUCUGGUUUCAAAAUUUUCGUGCUGAUAUGCCGGUGUACUAUGGAGGCUAUGUGGGCGGCCCCCACGGCGGCGGCUAUUGUCUAUUCUCACCGCCUUGCACGCCCACAACGGGAGGCUGCGGGCCCUAUGGAACCUUGCCCGGUCCCUGCUGUCCACCAUCCUGCUGAUUCGAUAAGGAAAACGUAUCAAGAUGAGCUACUUAACUUGUCACCUCUUCAGUGUAAAACUUGCCUUGCUUUUCAGUGUUUGUAGUUUGGGUAAAAAAAUAAUAAAAUAAAUAUUUAAAA
Long non-coding RNA from Pieris napi, 366 nucleotides. RefSeq lists it as uncharacterized. Lineage: Eukaryota; Metazoa; Arthropoda; Insecta; Lepidoptera; Pieridae. The record is from RefSeq and is a predicted model, not a curated record. The transcript has 2 exons.